UUAAUUCUGUACUUUGAAAUUAGAUACAAAUUAGAUAGAGAAAAACAAAGAAGAUGGUUAGAUAGAGAAAAACAAAGAAGAUGAACAGAUAGAGAUAGAGAGUGACUUAUCUGUCAUAUUGAAGUACCGCAGAUAAAUCAGUAAUGCGUCGGCUGUCAUAUUGAUCACACGCAUUAGCUUUCAGUCAAAUUUAGGAGCAAUAUGAAAUGACCAGAAUACCCUUUAGCCGCAAGUAGACAUGACGACCUUCAGCUGCUUCUCUCGCUCUUCCAUAUAUUAGUAAUGUUCAGCUGCUUCUCUCGCUCUUCUAUAUAUUAGUAAUGUACGCGUGUCAGAAUUUACUUUUUGGGGUGACAUUUUGCCCUUGGUUUAGCCUUUUAUCACUUUAGUUUACCUUUCAGAAUUUGUAAUAUCAACCUCUUUUAGGGCCUUCUUGGUAAAUCAAUGUUUACCCUCCCCAACACCUGUCACCAUCUUCAUCUUCUCUCUGUCUAUCCUUGUUCUCUGUGUCAUCUUCCCUUUGCUCCAGUAGAAGAAUCGUCUUCAACUUCAUCG
RNAcentral lists this long non-coding RNA (555 nucleotides) under Nicotiana tabacum (common tobacco). RNAcentral's name for it is "long non-coding RNA (NTAB_LNC001308)". The record is from RNAcentral. Lineage: Eukaryota; Viridiplantae; Streptophyta; Magnoliopsida; Solanales; Solanaceae.